AUGAAGGCAUACACGCCGUCUGAGGACAAACUCCUUUGCGAGUGUUGGAGGGACAUUGGGCAAGACCCCAAGGUCGGCGCCGAACAAAAGGCAUCAACCUUUUGGCUUCGUGUUCAUCGUGAGUACUAUGAACGCAAGAAGUUUGUGUUGUAUCAAAUGCAGAGCAAGCGUGUGUGGGUGUCCCUCUCGAAGCGAUGUAGGGUGAUACAACAAGAGUGCAACAAGUUUUGUGCCACCCUUGAGACCAUCAAGGCAUGCCCCGUGAGCGGCAUCGACAUGAAAGAUAUGGUAUACAUGUGCCCCUCUUCGUAUCUGUUUCCGUUAUGCUUGCAUGUCCAUUUGCCCAUAUGCUUGCAUGCUAUUCAUUUAUAG
This 372-nucleotide ribosomal RNA is filed under the name Triticum aestivum (bread wheat). Its description in RNAcentral is "partial small subunit ribosomal RNA". The record is from RNAcentral. Lineage: Eukaryota; Viridiplantae; Streptophyta; Magnoliopsida; Poales; Poaceae.